UACAGAGGUGGCAAGCGUUGUUCGGAAUUACUGGGCGUAAAGGGGGCGUAGGCGGCUUGGUCAGUCCCGUGUGAAAUCCCUCGGCUCAACUGAGGAACUGCACGGGAAACUGCCUGGCUUGAGUUCGGGAGAGGGAAGCGGAAUUCCGGGUGUAGCGGUGAAAUGCGUAGAUAUCCGGAGGAACACCGGUGGCGAAGGCGGCUUCCUGGACCGACACUGACGCUGAGGCGCGAAGGCGUGGGGAGCGAACGGG
Molecule: ribosomal RNA, 253 nt
Filed under: uncultured bacterium
Lineage: Bacteria
Description: partial 16S ribosomal RNA
Rfam family: Bacterial small subunit ribosomal RNA
Source: RNAcentral